RNAcentral lists this small RNA (158 nucleotides) under Chelonoidis abingdonii (Abingdon island giant tortoise). RNAcentral describes it as "TUC338 (ENSCABG00000019707.1)". Lineage: Eukaryota; Metazoa; Chordata; Testudines; Testudinidae. The record is from RNAcentral.
UUGCCAGUCCUGGAGAUGUAGGUCUUCCAUUUAUUCCCAGAACAGGUGCAGCACAGACAGCAAUAAUGCAAGUUUCCACUCAGUGCUCUGGUCCAGACCUGCAGGGACCAAUCCUACCAGCAAGACAACACUUCAGGGUCCAUCAAUACUCAGGUAUU